Molecule: ribosomal RNA, 465 nt
Filed under: uncultured bacterium
Lineage: Bacteria
Description: partial 16S ribosomal RNA
Rfam family: Bacterial small subunit ribosomal RNA
Source: RNAcentral
GACGAACGCUGGCGGCGUGCUUAACACAUGCAAGUCGAACGGAAAGGCCCUGCUUGCAGGGUACUAGAGUGGCGAACGGGUGAGUAACACGGGGGUGAUCUGCCCUGCACUUCGGGAUAAGCUUGGGAAACGGGGUCUAAUACCGGAUAGGACCGCACUUUAAUGGGUGUGGUGAAGAGUUUUUUCGGUGUUGGAUGAGCUGGCGGCCUAACGGCUUGUUGGUGCGGUAAUGGCCUACCAAGCCGGCGACGGGUAGCCGCCCUGUGAGGGUGUACGGCCACACUGACACUGAGAGGCGGCCGAGGCUCCUAAGAGUGGAAGCUGUGCGCAAUAUUGCACAAGGGGCGCCAGCCUGAUGCAGCGAGGCUGCGGGGUGGAUGAAGGUCUUCGGGUUGUAGAAAACUUGCGCGAUGGACGAAGCUUUUUCUGACGGUACCUAGAUAAGAAGCACCGGCUAACUACGUG